AAAUUACAAAGAAAUUCCAGCAACCACAAGGAGAGGUCCACAAAGUGAGAGAUUGAACCCUCGAGCUAACAAGCAUGUGAGUGAGACAUGUUGGAAGUGGAUUCUCCAGCUCCAGUCAAGCCUUCAGAUGAAUGCAGCUCCAGCCAACAUCUCACUGCAGCUUUAUGAGAGCCUCUGAGCUGGAGCCACUAGGCCAAGCUGUUCCCAAAUUCCUGACUCUCAGAAACUGUUGUGCAUAGGAAGAAUCUGGGGACCUUGUGGAAAGUGCAGCUCCCAGACACCUGCCUCAACUGACUCUGUGGAUGUGGAGCGGGCCCUGCCACUCCCCAUUUUUAACCUACUGGGGAGAGAACGGGAGGCAAAACUACAAACCUGAAAAUAAAGUGGCUAAGUGGCUUCUCAAACUCUUUCCAAGUCUCUAAACACCGCUGAGUCUGGAUUGUCACUGUGCUCUACAGAGGAAACGAAGACCAAGAAUUAAGCAGCUCGAUUUUCCAGUGCAGACUGUUUGACCUUUGUGACUAGUAAACCACUCCUUUUAUUAAGGCCAAAUCUGCAAAAUCUGUCUUAAAGAAAAUGGUCAGUCUUUCCUUUCUUCUAAACAUCUCUGAUUUUUUCAUCUUGUUUCCUGACUAUUCACAGACAGCAACAAUAACAGAUUCUGGAAAGAAGGAUUUGUAAUGAGGAAAUCAAGGCAGUGAGAUAAAGCAACUUGCCUGAGGUCACCCAGUUGGCAAGCUGGGGCACAGAUUUUCAGAGGUUUCUGGGAUUCCAAACCCUGUGCUCUCGGGCAUUUGUCUGAGAAAACUCUCAGGGAAGGUGUGGGCUUGUCGCCCCUGGAGGCCUUCCAGCUCCGACGUUUUGAAGCCUGGCUCCCAGAUUAAAC
Molecule: long non-coding RNA, 886 nt
Organism: Homo sapiens (human)
Lineage: Eukaryota; Metazoa; Chordata; Mammalia; Primates; Hominidae
Gene: ATOX1-AS1
Product: ATOX1 antisense RNA 1
Exons: 4
Source: RefSeq, a predicted model, not a curated record